RNAcentral lists this ribosomal RNA (525 nucleotides) under uncultured bacterium. Its description in RNAcentral is "bacterial SSU rRNA". It matches the Rfam family "Bacterial small subunit ribosomal RNA", at positions 336 to 865 of the family's 1533-position model. The record is from RNAcentral.
CUCCUACGGGAGGCAGCAGUGGGGAAUCUUGCACAAUGGGCGAAAGCCUGAUGCAGCGACGCCGCGUGGGGGAUGAAGCUUCUCGGAGUGUAAACCCCUUUCGAUCCGGACGAAUACCUCGCAAGAGGGGUGACGGUACGGAUAUAAGAAGCCCCGGCUAACUACGUGCCAGCAGCCGCGGUAAGACGUAGGGGGCCAGCGUUGUUCGGAAUUACUGGGUGUAAAGGGUUCGUAGGCGGUGCGGCAAGUUGGGAGUGAAAUCUCUGGGCUUAACCCAGAGGCUGCUUCCAAAACUGCUGUGCUUGAGUGUGGGAGAGGCGCGUGGAAUUGCAGGUGUAGCGGUGAAAUGCGUAGAUAUCUGCAGGAACACCCGUGGCGAAAGCGGCGCGCUGGACCACUACUGACGCUGAGGAACGAAAGCUAGGGGAGCAAACAGGAUUAGAUACCCUGGUAGUCCUAGCCCUAAACGAUCAGGACUUGGGGUGCCACCCGUUCGGGUGUCGUCCCGGAGCUAACGCGUUAAGU